GUCAGCUGUCUACAAGGCAGGAAGAGAAACCUCACCAGGAACCGAGCAGCCAGCACUUUGACCUUAGACUCCCAGGCCCAGAACUUGUCUCCUCGUGUUAGUAUUCGGUCUGCUUUGUCUGGUGACUUCCUUGCAACCCGUCCCUCCUCACACAUCUCAGGUUCCUGGUCCCCAGCACAGCUGCCAGAGACAACACUGGAUGACAUCCCUGAACUGGACAGACCUAGCUUCAGAACACCCAACACGCUCCCAAAGUUAUUCUGAUGGAAGGCACUUGUGUGCCUUUACGUGGGGCCAUUUUGGGCACACCUUUCCUAUGCUCUAGUCCUGGAAUUGC
Microcebus murinus (gray mouse lemur) is the source of this 337-nucleotide non-coding RNA. Lineage: Eukaryota; Metazoa; Chordata; Mammalia; Primates; Cheirogaleidae. The record is from RefSeq and is a predicted model, not a curated record.